RNAcentral lists this ribosomal RNA (683 nucleotides) under uncultured Hyphomicrobiales bacterium. RNAcentral's name for it is "bacterial SSU rRNA". It matches the Rfam family "Bacterial small subunit ribosomal RNA", at positions 9 to 720 of the family's 1533-position model. The record is from RNAcentral. Lineage: Bacteria; Pseudomonadati; Pseudomonadota; Alphaproteobacteria; Hyphomicrobiales.
GAGUUUGAUCCUGGCUCAGAAUGAACGCUGGCGGCAGGCCUAACACAUGCAAGUCGAACGGAGUUAUAUUGUAGCUUGCUAUGGUAUAACUUAGUGGCAGACGGGUGAGUAAUGUAUAGGAAUCUACCUAGUAGUACGGAAUAAUUGUUGGAAACGGCAACUAAUACCGUAUACGCCCUACGGGGGAAAAAUUUAUUGCUAUUAGAUGAGCCUAUAUUAGAUUAGUUAGUUGGUGAGGUAAAGGCUUACCAAGACAAUGAUCUAUAGCUGAUCUGAGAGGAUGAUCAGCCACACUGGAACUGAGAUACGGUCCAGACUCCUACGGGAGGCAGCAGUGGGGAAUAUUGGACAAUGGGCGAAAGCCUGAUCCAGCCAUGCCGCAUGAGUGAAGAAGGCCUUCGGGUUGUAAAGCUCUUUUAGUGAGGAAGAUAAUGACGGUACUCACAGAAGAAGUCCUGGCUAACUCCGUGCCAGCAGCCGCGGUAAUACGGAGAGGGCUAGCGUUAUUCGGAAUCAUUGGGCGUAAAGGGCGCGUAGGCGGGUUAGUAAGUUAAAAGUGAAAUCCCAAGGCUCAACCUUGGAACUGCUUUUAAAACUGCUAGUCUAGAGAUUGAAAGAGGAUAGAGGAAUUCCUAGUGUAGAGAUGAAAUUCGUAAAUAUUAGGAGGAACACCAGUGGCGAAA